CCAGACUCCUACGGGAGGCAGCAGUGGGGAAUAUUGCACAAUGGGGGGAACCCUGAUGCAGCGACGCCGCGUGGGUGAAGAAGUCAUUCGUGACGUAAAGCCCUAUCAGCAGGGAAGAAAAUGACGGUACCUGACUAAGAAGCCCCGGCUGACUACGUGCCAGCAGCCGCGGUAAUACGUAGGGGGCAAGCGUUAUCCGGAUUUACUGGGUGUAAAGGGCGUGCAGCCGGGAAGACAAGUCAGAUGUGAAAUCCCGCGGCUCAACCGCGGAACUGCAUUUGAAACUGUUUUUCUUGAGUACCGGAGAGGUCAUCGGAAUUCCUUGUGUAGCGGUGAAAUGCGUAGAUAUAAGGAAGAACACCAGUGGCGAAGGCGGAUGACUGGACGGCAACUGACGGUGAGGCGCGAAAGCGUGGGGAGCAAACAGGAUUAGAUACCCGGGUA
This 444-nucleotide ribosomal RNA is filed under the name uncultured bacterium. RNAcentral's name for it is "partial 16S ribosomal RNA". It matches the Rfam family "Bacterial small subunit ribosomal RNA", at positions 331 to 792 of the family's 1533-position model. The record is from RNAcentral.